AACGAACGCUGGCGGCAUGCCUAACACAUGCAAGUCGAACGAGACCUUCGGGUCUAGUGGCGCACGGGUGCGUAACGCGUGGGAACCUGCCCUUAGGUUCGGAAUAACUCCCCGAAAGGGGUGCUAAUACCGGAUAAUGUCUUCGGACCAAAGAUUUAUCGCCUUUGGAUGGGCCCGCGUUGGAUUAGCUAGUUGGUAGGGUAAAAGCCUACCAAGGCGACGAUCCUUAGCUGGUCUGAGAGGAUGAUCAGCCACACUGGGACUGAGACACGGCCCAGACUCCUACGGGAGGCAGCAGUAGGGAAUAUUAGACAAGGGGCGAAAGCCUGAUCCAGCAAUGCCGCGUGAGUGAUGAAGGCCUUAGGGUUGUAAAGCUCUUUUACCCGGGAUGAUAAUGACAGUACCGGGAGAAUAAGCACCGGCUAACUCCGUG
RNAcentral lists this ribosomal RNA (433 nucleotides) under uncultured bacterium. RNAcentral's name for it is "partial 16S ribosomal RNA". It matches the Rfam family "Bacterial small subunit ribosomal RNA", at positions 29 to 507 of the family's 1533-position model. The record is from RNAcentral.